ACGUAAAUUAGUAAAUAAUGUAAUUUUACAUUAUAAUGAGAAUUAAAGUAUUAGUAAUUUAUUUUUGUUACUAAAAUUAAAUUCAGUUUGUUCCUGCAUAAAUCUUUUUAGUAGUAAACUGCUUUGGAAUGAUUUUUUUGGGGGACAACAGCAGGAUUAGGGCCAUCUUCUAGAUGCCAUCAGGUAGGUGCGCUAGCGUAGUGGUUUGUUGUAGCAUUAUAUCCCUUUUCCCCCUUUUUAAAAAAUGUUUGUAAGACGCCUGAAAUUUGUAUAAGUUAGUUAUAUAAGCAGUUGAAUAAGAGUUGGUGAGACUUGGAAAAUAGAAGAGGCCAGAGAAGAUGGAAGAGGAUUGCUUUGAAAUAGAAGGAAAGGAGAUAGAAGAUGUUUGAGGAAAGAAGAAGGAUUUUGUUGGCUGCAACGGAAGUUUUUUGAAGGAAAUUUGGAGCAACUGUAUUAAGAUGUUAUUGGUAUCUUGGACAUCAAGUUUUAUUUAUUUAUGUAUUAUACAAGCAUAUCUAUUGGUGUAAAUGUAGAAUGGCAGCUGUUAUAACAACUUGGAUGAAUUAUUAGAAACAUCAAAGAAGUUUUGACAUAAUUUAAACUGGGAAAAGGCUCACAAAUGGCCAAUUUAUUCUACAGUAGAUACAGGACAUUAAAUUGACUUCAACAACGCAGAUAUCUCAAAAAUGAUAUCUCUUUGAGUGAUGUACUGGGCGUUAACAGUUGCUGUUACAAAUCUGCAAAUGAGUUAGAACUGUACAUAAGUUUGAUGAAUGCCCGAGGAAUUUUUUGAAUAAAAUGAUACUGAAAAUCACCCAUAAAUGACAAUUUCAAGAUACAAUCAAUAGUACUUAGAUUGAUUGGCCUUCAUUACCAUUGCCCUAUGAAAAUGGCAAUACAAGUUGAUAUUAAUGGACGUUUUGACAGCUGUUUCCCGUCCAAGUUCCAGUUUUAAUGGAAAAUCUUUAAAGGACACAGAAAAAUGUAAUUUACUGGAUUGACUUCAACACCUGUUGCCUUUUAAUAAUGGUAUGAACUGCUGUUACUUAAUAGCUGUUAGAGCGGAUCCAGUUCUUUAUCAAUGGUAUAAGAUGGGACAAUUGCUAUAUUAAAAAUCCACAAGACGUACUGUCUGCAAAUAUUAUGGUGGACAUCAAAAAGCUUUAAAUGCAAUGAAACUUGCAGGAAAAGACUCAGAAAGACUAUUUAGGACUGUACUUAAUAGCUGUUAGUAUGGUCGCAGUCCUUCAUCACUGAUAUCUCCGCAUUUUCUUAACUGUGGAUAUCAACAGUUGCUCCUACUCCUUGCUUCCCUCUUUCACUCAACAUGAAGCAGACUCAAUACUCCUCAAUGUCUCACCAAGGUUCG
Long non-coding RNA from Sitophilus oryzae (rice weevil), 1369 nucleotides. RefSeq lists it as uncharacterized. NCBI's taxonomy places the organism in Eukaryota, Metazoa, Arthropoda, Insecta, Coleoptera, Curculionidae. The transcript has 8 exons. The record is from RefSeq and is a predicted model, not a curated record.